RNAcentral lists this unclassified non-coding RNA (689 nucleotides) under Homo sapiens (human). RNAcentral's name for it is "peroxiredoxin like 2B (ENSG00000275125.4)". The record is from RNAcentral. Lineage: Eukaryota; Metazoa; Chordata; Mammalia; Primates; Hominidae.
GGCGGGGCUGGGGGCAACGGGGCGCGCCCAUGACCCAGCCGCCCGGCAGGCCGUGGAGCUGCGGAGCCUGUGGCGGGAGCACGCGUGCGUGGUGGCCGGGCUGCGGCGCUUCGGGUGCGUGGUGUGCCGCUGGAUCGCCCAGGACCUCAGCAGCCUUGCUGGGCUCCUGGACCAACACGGCGUGCGCCUGGUGGGCGUAGGGCCCGAGGCCCUGGGUCUGCAGGAGUUCCUGGACGGCGACUACUUCGCGGGAGAGCUCUACCUGGAUGAGAGCAAGCAGCUUUACAAGGAGCUAGGCUUCAAGCGGUACAACAGCCUGAGCAUCCUCCCAGCAGCUCUGGGGAAGCCCGUGCGUGAUGUGGCUGCCAAGGCUGUACCCACUCCUGACAGGCCAAGGCUGUUGGCAUCCAGGGGAACUUGUCUGGGGACCUGCUGCAGAGCGGAGGGCUGCUGGUGGUCAGCAAAGGUGGUGAUAAAGUGCUCCUGCAUUUCGUCCAGAAGUCCCCAGGCGACUACGUCCCCAAGGAGCACAUCCUGCAGGUCCUGGGCAUCUCUGCGGAGGUCUGUGCCAGCGACCCGCCUCAGUGUGACAGAGAGGUGUGAGGGAGGCGAAGGCCCUGGCCUCCGAGGAUCUGGGUGGCGUCUGCUGCCCUAGGUGUGCUGGAAGUCCACUUGGAAGAACUGUUCCG